Trichechus manatus latirostris (Florida manatee) is the source of this 66-nucleotide small nucleolar RNA. RefSeq annotates it as small nucleolar RNA SNORD58. The record is from RefSeq and is a predicted model, not a curated record. The transcript has a single exon. NCBI's taxonomy places the organism in Eukaryota, Metazoa, Chordata, Mammalia, Sirenia, Trichechidae.
UUGCAGUGAUGACGAUCUUAGGACACCUUUGGAUUAACCAUGAAAAAAAAAAACAUUCUGAGCAAC